This 4581-nucleotide long non-coding RNA is filed under the name Capsicum annuum. Its description in RNAcentral is "long non-coding RNA (CANN_LNC010673)". The record is from RNAcentral. Lineage: Eukaryota; Viridiplantae; Streptophyta; Magnoliopsida; Solanales; Solanaceae.
GAUAUCAAACCACAACAUCCUGCUAGAUCAAAAUUUCAAUGAUAAGAUAUCUGAUUUUUGGGAUGUCAAAGCUAAUUGAAACAGACAAAAGAAAAAUUGAACUAGAAUGAGAGGGACAAGAGGAUAUUUAGCCCCUGAAUGGCUGAACUCAGUAAUCACUGAGAAAGUGUACGUGUAUGCAUUUGGUAUUAUGCUCUUGGAAGUUCUCUGUGCGCGGAAAAAUUUAGACUUAUGAAGAUGUCCAUUUGCUAACUGUUUUUGAAAGAAAAGCGGAUCAACAACAACUCAUGGAUAUGGUUGACAAAAACAAUAAGGAAAUGCAGAUGCACAAAGAAGUAGUGACAGAAAUGAUGAGCAUUGAUGCGUGGUGUCUACAGGGCGAUUUCACCAAGAGGACUUCCAUGUCAUUUGUGGUUAAAGCAUUGGAAGGUUUGGUGUCUGUUGAAACCAACUUGUAUUACGAUUUCACUAGACUACCUGAGGUUCAAGCUGGCAACCAACAGAGCGAAGCCACUGACAGUUCAAUAUUGCCUUCAGUAUUACAUCGAGUCUAAUCCACCUAAGUUUUACUAUGCUUCAAGUUCUCCGGAUAGUAUACAUUUCAGUUUUGAUAGUCAAACACUUACCGCUCUGCAAGAAUCUCCUACAUCACCAGCUCAAUUCAUAAAGCUUCAGCUUGAUGGGCAUUUACGGGUAUACCAAUGGGAUGAGAAAGUACUUAGAUUGGAAGUCAUAUCUGAUCUUUCCCUUUCAUAUGGAGGAAACUGUGGGUAUCCAACUGUCUGUGGAAGAGAUGGCAUUUGCACUGGUGACGGGCGAUGUAGUUUCCCGCCAGAGGAAAAUUUCUUCAUGCCAUCAGAUUAGAGGAAAAAGAAAAAAAAAAUGUAGGAUGUUCACAGGUGAUAUCCAUUAACUGCAACUCUUUGCAGAAUCAUAGUUUCAUAUAGCUCAGGAAUACCACAUAUUGGAGCACAGAGGGACAUUAUAGCUUCUUGUUUUGAGGUCGAAACAUGACAUGAGUUACAUCGAGAGCUCAAACCAUUAGGUACAAGCAAGACCUGAAUACAUAAGACAUAGAUAGAUGUCCGUUUAAAUCGAAGUAGGAGGAGCUUGCUUGAAUAGGAUUAGGAAAUGGUUUAUCAUAAUUCUUACUUGAAACUAGACACUACAAGAAACUUCGGAAACUGCUGCAAUCUAUCAUUUCCCCCUUUCAGAAACACUAAUCGUAAUUACUUCUAACUCCCAAAGUCAUCAACUUACAACUAACAUUUUCAUGGGCAUAGACACCCACACUUUUAAGCUCUUAAUACUCCAUCUUCAAUUUCUUAGAAUACUAUUAUUACUCCUUUAAUCACAUAACUUACAACUUAACAUAAGCUCUAAAACUAUAACAAGGCGCGCAUUGCCUACCUAUAUCUCCUCAAUUCAACUAUAAAGAACACCAUACAACAACUUUCCCGACUUCUCCAUAAUACAAGAUUCAAGAACAAAAUCUAGGCACACGUGACACCCGUACACAUCACCUUAUCUAACAACAUACUACCUCAGGGUUCAACUUAUUCUAAUAUACCCACGCUCUUAUCCACUUAAUGAUUCAACAACAAUUCAUCAUUAUAACACUAGUGUCAUGCAUAUAUACAUAUCACAAUUACCACUUAAACUUUUCAUAAAUCAUCAACUUAGGCUUUUUCACAAAUCACAUCAAGCCCACUAAUUCAUUCCCACAAAACAUACAUCAUUAAUCUUAAGUUACUAUUCUUACCAUCACAUUUUACAUCUAAAGUUCAAGCCUAUAGUCUAGCAUCAAUCAUCUACCGCCGAUGAAGCAUGUAACAUAAUAUACUAGUCCAUCAAAUUGGGAAAUCAAUCCAAAAUACUUCAUUUAAUUUAACUACGACCUACAAUCAUUUCCCCUCGAAAACAUUACUACUACACCUCAAAAUCUACUACAUACUUUCUCACAAGCAGUGCUCGUUUACAACUACUAGAGGAAAGACAAUCAAAGGGGUGAGGUCACAUAAUAAGGAUGGUCGAUCUCAAUCUUAUAAUACAACCCAUUUCAAUCUUAUCAACAUAUUCUAAUUUCUCACAUCAUAUUUACUUAGCCAUGUAUAUAUUCUCACUAUCACCAAAUUCUAGAAACACCAAUGAGUCUUUACCCAUAACUUAUUGACUAGUCUACCUUUUUCCAUUCACAACCUAUAAAUCAUUUCUAUAACCACCAUAACUAUCCACUUUGAGCUCCUUCUCUAUUUUCAAUAAAUAAUAAUCAUAUCCAGUCACUUCCUUCACAAACUACCAUACAAUCUACAAAUAUUGCCACACAUUAGUCUAUCACUAUAAAAUGGCAAACCAUCCUCCAAUCAAUGGUUAUACAACUAAAACUAUUUAUUUACACAAAAGUCACCCUCACUCUGACUUCUAGCCUUGUGACUUCAUAUCACCAACUUCUUGACCCAUUUACUACCAAUAGAUCAUGACACUUUUUUAAUUUCUACUACUCGGGUGGAAAUAUAGUUCCGACAUUCUGCUAAACAUCAUUAGCCUUAUGCAUGACAUCCACAACAAGAAUUUUGAAAGAAAACGGAAUAGACUUUGUAUCUUAGGAUGAAAAGCACGAUUUCAUAAGAAUAAAAGCAUACACUCAAAUCAAUACAACCUAAAGACUAAUGGACUCCUCCCAAGUCCUCAUGCUGUCUCAUAACUUUACGGAUGACUCAAUCAGAGAGAACCACAUUGUUGAGGAGCUAGACUCUUAGACUUGUAUCGCCUCGACAGUGAGGCAUGGCCCAUGAAAUUAGAACAAGGAAUGAAUUUAUAUAACUCUCUCAUGGAAAACUCUAUAGCAUGAACUAGAGUAUGAAAGAAUAAGAAACAACUCCUAAAUGCCCGGUAGCCUCCUGAUUAUAAGUGCGGUGCAUGACACACCCAUAAACAAGACUCUACUAGACACGAUUUCGCAGACACCAUGCGACUAUGAACCGUGCUAUGAUACCAAGUUUGUCACGACACGAGUUGGGGCCUUAGCCGCGACGAGCAUCCCGAACCAUGAAGGCCCGGGCGCCCCUUUCUAUCUGACAAUCGUGAACACCAUUCAUAUACAAUAAAGAAAAAUGUGGAAAACUAUUACAACGGAAUCAUGGUCAACUUUUAUUUCAAACUACUCAAUACUGAAAUAAGUUCGUAAAGAUCAACAUCUAACACUUGUCUGCGAAAUUUAUACAUAUAUAACAUAGGAGAGAGAAAGUCAUAAAAUAUUAUGCAUGAAAUAGUUUAAAAUACAUGGGCCUUUCAAAAGAUCUUAAAACAAUCUUGUCAAUGCGAUUUCAUUCUUCGUAUUACUUCUGAGCUAGAUGGUACACCCUACAUUUCUACAAUUCCACGGGCUAUAUGGAAUCCGCCCUUGACUAGGCGGCCAAGCCCCCAAUCCAAGUUUGCCGCAAGGAUUGGGGUGUCAGCAAGGGGGGAACACGCAAGAUCACAAAGCAGGGUAUCAUAAUUCCCAAUCAAGUCAACAUGUCAUGGUAGUGCACAAGAACACAAAGCAGGGUUCCUAACCAUAAAUCCCAAUUUAGGACGACAUGAAAGCAUAGAGUCUUUCAACUCAUACUUUCUUCGAGUAACCAUCUAACUCUCUUUAAGCCCAUUUUUAACCUUUUCUAAACAUGCAACUUUCUGAAUUCAAAAUCUAAAAAUCUGAGUGAAAUCUGAUUUCUAUUCAAUUCUGUGUUUGUCAUGGCAUUGUCUAUUUGGUAUCGUCAUAACAAGACUUGCAAGUUAUGUUUCUGAGCCAUAAAAUAUCAUAUCACAGUUUUCUCUUUCAAAACAUAAAGUUUAGACCACCAUACUUCAAAUAAUUCUAGAAGAUUCAUUUUUCCAAAAAUAUUUAUCAAAUUAUGCAAAGAUCAUUCUUUUCAAUCAUUUCAACAAACAUGUGGUGGUCAUGUAUUCUUGACAAACCAUACAAUUCUUUCAUUAUAUAUAUAUAUAUAUAUAUAUAUNNNNNNNNNNNNNNNNNNNNNNNNNNNNNNNNNNNNNNNNNNNNNNNNNNNNNNNNNNNNNNNNNNNNNNNNNNNNNNNNNNNNNNNNNNNNNNNNNNNNNNNNNNNNNCAAAUAAUCAUGUUCUAAAUUCAAUUAACAACUUAAACACAUACAUACAUAUAUAAGAUUACAAAUCAAUUUAGGGAAAAGGCCUCAAGACCAAAUCAAUAUCAUCAAAAACUUUAAAAGCAUAAAUCUAAUUAUAAAUCAAACAUCCCUUUUUCUAAAUUCAUGAUUUCUAAACCUUUAACAUGAUUAAGAAGAAUUUACCAUGCCCAUGUAGAUAUAGGAAAACCCCACGUACCUUAGAUAGUUUAGUUUGAAAGAUGGAACCCGGAUCUUGAUCCUUUUCUUGGAAUUCUUGAUCUUAGGGAUAGUUCUUAAUCUUUGGGAAAAGGAUUAGGGUUGGAUUUUUGAGAGGAAUUGAUUAGUUUGUGAUGUAUUUUGCCCAAAUACUGAUUUUAUGUCGUGUUGUGGCUGAGGUAAGACGAGGGAAAAGACGAAAAUACCCCUAAGGAAACAAAAAAGGUCGCAACAGUC